UGCUGUGGCCCCACCCCUGAUGUCAGCCGUGGGUCAUGAACGUGGGAAUCUUCACAUCUCGUUGUAUAGGACCUAAUUCACCAGGUUCACCUCUCUCCCCGCACCGGAACUCAAACGCUGACCAUCUCCUCCGGCCCUGCCCUAGCUGUGCCUGCGUGCCCUGCUCCUGUGGAAGAAGAAAGCUGCAUCUUUUCCAAGAAUAGUUGCUGUCUUGCUCAGAUGAAAGGCAUGAAGCCAGGCUGAGGUUUGUGAUGAUGAAAAGAAAUAUGCACUCAGAAGAAACCAUUCUUGGAAUUGUGGAUUUGAAUCUUUCUCUGGUUAAUGCCAGAUGUUCUUCUCUUGGAUGCUGGGUAACAACAGUGGUCACGGCUCUCAGCCCCAGUCAUGAGGGACAUGACCGUGCUCUACAGUGUACUGUGCUGCUAACCGGAAUGUGUGGCAGUUUUGAGAGCUGAACGUGGCAACAAGGAGUAACUGCAAAUGAACAUAAAGGAUCUUUUGAGAGCAAUAUAAAUAUUUUAAAUUUGGAUUAUGGUGGCUCCAUGACUGUAAAUUUACUAAAAACCAUUGAAUUUUGCACUUAAAAUGGAUGAACUGUGGGAUACAUAAGUCACAUCUAAAUAAAGCUUAAAAUGGUCUUUUUUAUUUUAGAUGACUCAGAGGCUAACAUUUUUAUUAAUGGGUUAGUUAUGUCUUUCUUGUAGUGUUGUGGUGAUCAGCAAAUGGGCUGAUAACAAGGAGAGAUGUUGCAAAUGCUACAAUACUAUAUAAACAAAGGAUACUCCGAUAAUAUUUCUGUUAUUAAGUAUAGUGUGCAUCUUUUGUGAUUGUAGUUUUCUAUUAAAGCCACAACAUAAAUAAAAAUUCUUGUUAGGUGUU
Molecule: long non-coding RNA, 879 nt
Organism: Lepus europaeus (European hare)
Lineage: Eukaryota; Metazoa; Chordata; Mammalia; Lagomorpha; Leporidae
Exons: 3
Source: RefSeq, a predicted model, not a curated record